CUUUUGCGCUUCUGCCCUGGCCCUCUGCUGGCCACUCCGCCGGUGCUGUGCCUGGGCGCCUCCGUGCUCUCGGCCAACUGCCUCUGAGAGCGCCCACUUGAGCGCCCUGGGAGCCGGAGGGCGGCGGUCCUCACCGGGACCCUCCUGUGGGCGGAGGGGGACAAAAGUGUCUCUCAAUCCAGCACAUGCACAUUGAAGCAAGUUAAAGGAUUUAAUAUGAAGCACAGAAGCCGACAGUGCCAAACAGCAAGCAGUAGUUGGUACACAUUUGGUGAGUGGGGCAGCAUUUCCUUCUCCCACUGCUGCUGAGAUGGCAGAAAUUAGUCGAAUUCGUACGAAAUGGAAUAUACUGAAGGCAUUAGUCAGCGAAUGAGGGUCCCAGAAAAGUUAAAAGUAGCACCGCCAAACGCCAACCUGGAACAGGGAUUCCAAAAAGGAGUUCCAAAUGCUAGCGUGAUAAUAAUGCAAGUUCCAGAGAGGAUUGUUGUAGCAGGAAAUAAUGAGGAUGUUUCAUUUUCAAGACCAGCAGAUCUUGACCUUAUUCAGUCAACUCCCUUUAAACUCCUCGCACUAAAAACAGCACCUCGUGUACUUAGGCUAAGUGAAAGACCACUAGAUUUUCUGGAUUUAGAAAGACCUCCUACAACCCCUCAAAAUGAAGAAAUCCGUGCAGUUGGCCGACUAAAAAGAGAGCGGUCUACGAGUGAAACUGCUGUUCGCCAAAAUGGACAGCUGGUCAGAAAUGAUUCUCUUUAUGGCAUUUCAAAUACAGAUACAACAAUUGAAGGAACAUCAGAUGACCUGACUGUUGUAGAUGCAGCUUCACUAAGACGACAGAUAAUCAAACUAAAUAGACGUCUACAACUUCCGGACGAGGAGAACAAAGAACGUGCUAAAAGAGAAAUGGUCGUGUAUUCAAUUACUGUAGCUUUCUGGCUGCUUAAUAGCUGGCUCUGGUUUUGCCGCUAGAGGUAACAUCAGCUCUCAAAAAUAUUAUCUCAACAGCUGGAAAUAUAAAAGAUUUGCAAACUUCUUUGUUUCUGUCUCUUCAUUGUACGCCAUUUUAUAGUCCACAACCUGAAAAUAUAUUUCUUCCAGAAACUCUGGAGGUAACACCUGCUUAAAAUUCUCCUUUUGCAUGUUUUGUAAAUAGGCUCCAGUUUUGUUUUUUAAAAGGAAUUCAUCUUUUGCCUCAUCGGUCCACACAACUGAUUCUGAAUGGGAGAGAGUCUGUAGAGAAUUGAUUUAGAAAAAUGUCUGUGAAAGAAAAACAAUUAUUUUGUCGUGUUUCUCAAACACUGUAAGCAGUUUUGUUAAUAGACAUUUUUCCAUCAACACUUCAACAUUAACACUUUCAAAGUCAUGGUCUGUUGCCAGAUUUGAGAAACUCGAACCACCUAAUAUUUCAUAACCUUCUUCAUUAGGUACUUGUACAGAUUAAUUUCUAACAUUUCAGCAGUUUAAUAUGUGUGCAAUAAGUGCAUUCUUUCAUUUUAGUUUUGUACUUGGUUUUCUAUAAAGUACGUUUUUACUCAGUUCAUGUGUGAACAAUUUUUAAAAACUACAGAAUAAGGUACAAAUGUAGUGUAUUUAAUAAACUGUCAACCAAAGCAAAAAAAA
Molecule: RNA transcript, 1620 nt
Organism: Homo sapiens (human)
Lineage: Eukaryota; Metazoa; Chordata; Mammalia; Primates; Hominidae
Gene: MFFP2
Gene name: MFF pseudogene 2
Exons: 1
Source: RefSeq, marked validated